This 668-nucleotide ribosomal RNA is filed under the name Klebsiella oxytoca. RNAcentral's name for it is "partial 23S ribosomal RNA". It matches the Rfam family "Bacterial large subunit ribosomal RNA", at positions 2263 to 2925 of the family's 2925-position model. The record is from RNAcentral. RNAcentral also lists the same sequence under 1 other name. Lineage: Bacteria; Pseudomonadati; Pseudomonadota; Gammaproteobacteria; Enterobacterales; Enterobacteriaceae.
GGGUAGUUUGACUGGGGCGGUCUCCUCCUAAAGAGUAACGGAGGAGCACGAAGGUCAGCUAAUCCUGGUCGGACAUCAGGAGGUUAGUGCAAUGGCAUAAGCUGGCUUGACUGCGAGCGUGACGGCGCGAGCAGGUGCGAAAGCAGGUCAUAGUGAUCCGGUGGUUCUGAAUGGAAGGGCCAUCGCUCAACGGAUAAAAGGUACUCCGGGGAUAACAGGCUGAUACCGCCCAAGAGUUCAUAUCGACGGCGGUGUUUGGCACCUCGAUGUCGGCUCAUCACAUCCUGGGGCUGAAGUAGGUCCCAAGGGUAUGGCUGUUCGCCAUUUAAAGUGGUACGCGAGCUGGGUUUAGAACGUCGUGAGACAGUUCGGUCCCUAUCUGCCGUGGGCGCUGGAGAAUUGAGGGGGGCUGCUCCUAGUACGAGAGGACCGGAGUGGACGCAUCACUGGUGUUCGGGUUGUCAUGCCAAUGGCAUUGCCCGGUAGCUAAAUGCGGAAGAGAUAAGUGCUGAAAGCAUCUAAGCACGAAACUUGCCCCGAGAUGAGUUCUCCCUGACUCCUUGAGAGUCCUGAAGGAACGUUGAAGACGACGACGUUGAUAGGCCGGGUGUGUAAGCGCAGCGAUGCGUUGAGCUAACCGGUACUAAUGAACCGUGAGGCUUAACCUU